UCAUGUCCUAUUUGCUACCCUGUGCUCAGU
This 30-nucleotide non-coding RNA is filed under the name Homo sapiens (human). The record is from RNAcentral. Lineage: Eukaryota; Metazoa; Chordata; Mammalia; Primates; Hominidae.